GUGUUUACAAAGGUAGAUUUAUUCAACCUAAAGGCCUGGACUGUACUCUGAGAUUGUGUCUUUCUUGGGGUUUAUUUGCAUUGAAAUUACAUUUACUUUAUGAAAUGAUAGUGAUGUUAGCAGAUUUUUAAAAAUGUUUUUACUUAACAAAAUUAAAGUACAACUACCCAGUUUGGGAGAUCUUACCAGUCUGUAAAGCCCCAAACCCUUUUGAGUCAGUGAACCAGAAAGCCUUGGCAAACCACAAAGAGCUACGACCAGAGGCCACCUCUUGCUGUCUUCCUUUGCUGCCCCUCUGCUAGCUAAAGCCUGUGUGGUAGGGGUGGGUUCCAAGGGUCAAGGCCCAGACAUGCUUUUCAUCUUGACUUUAAAAGCACAGAUUCUGGAACCAGACUGUUAGGGUUUAAAUAUCAGUUACACUCCUUUCUAGUUGCGUAUGACCUUGGACAAGUUGCUUCUGCUCUCCAUACUUUGAUGCUCUCAUUUAUAACAUGUGAUAAGUCACCUAAAUCACCUUUAAUAAGAGCCCAGUAAGUUGAGAUGUCACAAAAACAGAGCCAGAAAAAGAAUCUAUACCAUCUGCUACAGCCAGGACCAGCUACCUAAUUUACAAGUCUCAGCACAAAAUGAAAAUGUGGGGCCUCAGCCAGAUGUGGUGGCUCAUGCCUGUUAUCCCAGCACUUUAGGAGACCAAGGUGGGAAGAUUGCUCGGGCCCAAGAGGUUGAGGCUGCAGUGAGCCGUGAUUGCGCCACUGUACUCCAGCCUGGGCAAUAAAGCAAGACCAUCUCUGUCUUCUAGGCUCUUCUGAGAACCAGUGUCCUUUGAGAUCUCAGAUGGGAUUUAGAGGAGGGUUUCCACCCAGACCACUUUCCACAAAUUUCACUUCUGCAUUUCAUCUGGUAGGGUGUGGUUUUCAACUAGAAGCCCAAAUGAGG
Molecule: long non-coding RNA, 936 nt
Filed under: Homo sapiens (human)
Lineage: Eukaryota; Metazoa; Chordata; Mammalia; Primates; Hominidae
Description: non-protein coding lnc-EPCAM-8:1
Source: RNAcentral